GAGUUUGAUCAUGGCUCAGGAUUAACGCUGGCGGCGUGCCUGACACAUGCAAGUCGAACGAGGCCGCAAGACCUAGUGGCGGACGGGUGAGUAACACGUGACCAACCAACCCCGAAGUUGGGAAUAGCUCUGCGAAAGUAGAGGUAAUACCGAAUGUGGUCCAGGGCGGACAUUCGCUCUGGUCUAAAGAUUUAUCGCUUCGGGACGGGGUCGCGGCCUAUUAGCUUGUUGGUGGGGUAACGGCCUACCAAGGCGAUGAUGGGUAGCUGGUCUGAGAGGACGACCAGCCACACUGGGACUGAGACACGGCCCAGACUCCUACGGGAGGCAGCAGUGAGGAAUCUUCCGCAAUGGGCGAAAGCCUGACGGAGCAACGCCGCGUGUGGGAUGAAGACUUUAGGGUUGUAAACCACUGUCGGAGGGGACGAUCGUGACGGUACCCUCCAAGAAAGCCCCGGCUAACUACGUGCCAGCAGCCGCGGUAAUACGUAGGGGGCGAGCGUUAUCCGGAUUUACUGGGCGUAAAGCGCGUUAAGGCGG
This 540-nucleotide ribosomal RNA is filed under the name uncultured bacterium. RNAcentral describes it as "bacterial SSU rRNA". It matches the Rfam family "Bacterial small subunit ribosomal RNA", at positions 9 to 578 of the family's 1533-position model. The record is from RNAcentral.